UGGGGAAUUUUGCACAAUGGGGGAAACCCUGAUGCAGCGACGCCGCGUGAUUUAGAAGGCCUUCGGGUUGUAAAAAUCUUUUCUAUGGGAAGAAAAUGACAGUACCAUAGGAAUAAGGACCGGCUAAUUACGUGCCAGCAGCCGCGGUAAUACGUAAGGUCCGAGCGUUGUCCGGAAUCAUUGGGCGUAAAGGGUGCGUAGGCGGGUAAGCAAGUUAGAAGUGAAAUCCUGUAGCUCAACUACAGUAAGCUUUUAAAACUGCUCAUCUUGAGAUAUGGAAGGGAAAGUGGAAUUCCUAGUGUAGCGGUGAAAUGCGCAGAUAUUAGGAGGAAUACCGGUGGCGAAGGCGACUUUCUGGCCAUAAUCUGACGCUGAGGUACGAAAGCGUGGGUAGCAAACAGG
This 402-nucleotide ribosomal RNA is filed under the name Bacteroidota bacterium. RNAcentral describes it as "Bacteroidetes bacterium partial 16S ribosomal RNA". It matches the Rfam family "Bacterial small subunit ribosomal RNA", at positions 355 to 776 of the family's 1533-position model. Lineage: Bacteria; Pseudomonadati; Bacteroidota. The record is from RNAcentral.